RNAcentral lists this long non-coding RNA (215 nucleotides) under Homo sapiens (human). Its description in RNAcentral is "LHRI_LNC102.1". The record is from RNAcentral. Lineage: Eukaryota; Metazoa; Chordata; Mammalia; Primates; Hominidae.
GCCUGGGGGCUGCUGGGGGGCGCUGGUUGCUGGUGGGAAGGUGGCCAUCGUGCCUGGCUUGUCUUCCCUGCCUCUCUUCUUCUCCUAACGCUUUGUCUGUCUCUGCUUUCCUGGCCCCGGGCCUCUCCACUCCCUCAGCUUAUAAGGCUGUGUCUCCUCCUCAGACCACAGUCUGGCUCCAGCCCAUCAGGCCCUGUCUGAUGCAAUCUGGCCCC